AACGAACGCUGGCGGCAGGCUUAACACAUGCAAGUCGAACGCGCCCUUCGGGGUGAGUGGCAGACGGGUGAGUAACGCGUGGGAACAUACCCUUCGGACUGGAAUAACUGGGGGAAACUUCAGCUAAGACCGGAUACGUGCGAGAGCAGAAUGAUUUAUCGCCGAAGGAUUGGCCCGCGUCCGAUUAGCUAGUUGGUGUUGGUAAUGGCUCACCAAGGCGACGAUCGGUAGCUGGUCNGAGAGGAUGACCAGCCACAUUGGGACUGAGACACGGCCCAAACUCCUACGGGAGGCAGCAGUAGGGAAUAUUGGACAAUGGGCGCAAGCCUGAUCCAGCCAUGCCGCGUGAGUGAUGACGGCCUUAGGGUUGUAAAGCUCUUUUGUCAGGGAAGAACGGAUUGGGUUAAUACCUUGAUCUAAUGAC
RNAcentral lists this ribosomal RNA (424 nucleotides) under uncultured bacterium. RNAcentral's name for it is "bacterial SSU rRNA". It matches the Rfam family "Bacterial small subunit ribosomal RNA", at positions 29 to 473 of the family's 1533-position model. The record is from RNAcentral.